Molecule: ribosomal RNA, 574 nt
Filed under: Sphenophorus parumpunctatus
Lineage: Eukaryota; Metazoa; Arthropoda; Insecta; Coleoptera; Curculionidae
Description: eukaryotic LSU rRNA
Rfam family: Eukaryotic large subunit ribosomal RNA
Source: RNAcentral
AGCCCUAAGUGGGUGGUAAACUCCAUUUAAGGCUAAAUAUGACCACGAGACCGAUAGCGAACAAGUACCGUGAGGGAAAGUUGAAAAGCACUUUGAAGAGAGAGUUCAAGAGUACGUGAAACCGUUUAGGGGUAAACCUGAGAAACCCGAAAGGUCGAAGGGAGAAAUUCAUUCGCGUUUCGUCAUUGGCGUGCGACGAUCGAGUGACGAAGAGAGCGUUCGCGCGCGUUCUUCGCGCCUUUCGUCGUUCGAUCCGACGACGAACGCGUGCACUUUUCUCCUGGUAGGACGUCGCGAUCCGUUGGGUGUCGGUCUAAGGUACGCGAUGGAGCCCGUAGGUGUGCGGUUUCCGCCGCCACUUGCGGACUCGCGUUUCCCGGCCGACUCGCUCGACGGUAUACGAAAGGUUUAAGGCCGCUCACUAGUAGAGCGUUCGACUCGUAGCAAGCGCGCCAUUUGUCGUCGGCGAUCGGACCUAGUGCCGAUUCCGUCCUUUGGUGACUGUUGGUUACGAAGUUCUCGAACAGACCUUUUCUAAACCGAUCUGCGACGCUAUAGCUUUGGGUACUUUCAG